Molecule: RNA transcript, 950 nt
Organism: Syzygium oleosum
Lineage: Eukaryota; Viridiplantae; Streptophyta; Magnoliopsida; Myrtales; Myrtaceae
Gene name: universal stress protein PHOS34
Exons: 6
Source: RefSeq, a predicted model, not a curated record
GGUCACGUUCAUUGCACUUGAAGUGAAGAAGAAGAAGAAGAAGCAGCGACCGAUGACGAGCAACUUGGGGUGCGUGGUCGUGGCCGUAGACGGCGGCGACGAGAGCAUGAGCGCCCUCCGGUGGGCCCUCGACAACCUCAAGCUCCGAUCCCCCGCCGAUUCCCCCUCCCCCUCCUCCUUCGUCGUCCUCCACGUCCAGUCGCCGCCCAACAUCGUCGCCGGCCUCAACCCCGGCGCCAUCCCCUUCGGCGGCCCCAGUGAUUUGGAGGUGCCUGCUUUCACGGCGGCGAUCGAGGCGCAUCAGAAGCGGAUCACGCAGGCCAUACUCGAUCACGCCAUGGAGAUAUGCUCCGAUAAGAACGUGAACAUCAAGACGGAGGUAGUGAUUGGGGAUCCAAAGGAAAAGAUUUGUGAAGUUGUGGAGAACUUGAAUGCGGACCUGCUAGUGAUGGGAUCCCGAGCUUUUGGCCCUAUUAAAAGGAUGUUUUUGGGAAGCGUGAGCAACUACUGCACCAACCAUGCGCAGUGCCCUGUUAUCAUAAUCAAGGGAAAGGGCGAUUGCUGACAGCUGAAAUAGUUGAAUAUGCAGCCUAUGCAUCAGGAAAAGUGCAAUGCGUUUUGGAACAUUAGAGCUGCACCCUUUUCAUGCCUUGUGGCCACACAAUGUAGGAUCAUGCUGUUGUUGUCGUAGCGUGCUUCAUUGAAACUCUGGAGCUGUUGUCGUUUGGGUUCGCAGCAGGAGCCAAUAUGCCACAACACCAAUCUUAACCAUCAGAAGCUGUAUAUGAUGAUACGGAGGGUACUUGUCGCCUCCUCUUGCUGCUUCUGUACUUUAUACUCUGAUGUGUAUGUUUGUGCGUGUGUACCUAUCCCAUUUAUUCAUUCCGUUUGCAGUGAAGCUUGGCCUGGAUGUUCACUAAGAAUAAUGAUGUGCAAUCUGCUCCUCUUUA